GAUUAUUUUUAAUCGUGCGGACAGCCAAUACUAAUAUUAACCGUGUUGCCUCUUUUYGGCAUUCUUCAAUUGUUAAAGAGGCGUCAAGUAUCUGGCGAGAACAUAGUGGAUCAUCUUAGUGCUCAUUUUGCUGGUAGCUUUACUUCUACUACCUCGAAAGGGCCGGUAGAUCCAUACAUUU
RNAcentral lists this small nucleolar RNA (181 nucleotides) under Brettanomyces bruxellensis AWRI1499. RNAcentral describes it as "Small nucleolar RNA snR35". It matches the Rfam family "Small nucleolar RNA snR35". The record is from Rfam by way of RNAcentral. Lineage: Eukaryota; Fungi; Ascomycota; Pichiomycetes; Pichiales; Pichiaceae.